This 248-nucleotide ribosomal RNA is filed under the name uncultured bacterium. RNAcentral's name for it is "partial 16S ribosomal RNA". It matches the Rfam family "Bacterial small subunit ribosomal RNA", at positions 523 to 769 of the family's 1533-position model. The record is from RNAcentral.
AUACGUAGGUGGCAAGCGUUAUCCGGAUUUAUUGGGCGUAAAGCGAGCGCAGGCGGUUUGCUUAGGUCUGAUGUGAAAGCCUUCGGCUUAACCGAAGAAGUGCAUCGGAAACCGGGCGACUUGAGUGCAGAAGAGGACAGUGGAACUCCAUGUGUAGCGGUGGAAUGCGUAGAUAUAUGGAAGAACACCAGUGGCGAAGGCGGCUGUCUGGUCUGCAACUGACGCUGAGGCUCGAAAGCAUGGGUAGC